AUGUUUUGCUCCAAUUCCUGCUGGCAUCACAUGGCAUUCUUCUGGAUUAUUUUGAAUUCAGCCGCCUGUGCUAUUGGAUGCCUUGAGAUGAUUCCAUUCUGCCCUCAUUUUUGUCGGUUUGAACUACUAAGAAGACUGUCUUCCCUGUGACUUCACUGAACUCCACUGGGCUUAUAUGAAGAUGCAAAAACAGAUACAAACCUUGAAAUAUGCGGCAAUAUUUGAUUACAUGUUGGUGUUCCAGAUGAUCCCCAAAUAUGCUUUUUAUUGCUCAUCUUCCUUUUAAAAAUGAAACACAAGCUCAGAAAUGUGAACUAAUGUUUCAAGGUGGCAUAACUACUAAGCAGCAGAACCAUAAUUUGAACUUAGGUAUUUUGGCUGCAGUUACUGUGCUUUCCCCAUAGUAUCAGUGUUUUCCAAGGUGGUAUGCAUACUACCAGUAAUAUAUCCAAUAAUCUUAGAUGGUAAGUGGGCAAACAUUUUAACAGUUUUCUAGUUAAAUGUAUGUUAGAAAAUAUAAUGAAUUAUACAUCAAAACUUUGCUUUCUCAGAUUUUUGCAUAGGACAGGGCUAACAUAGACAGUGCCAUAAAAAUUCAUCCUGGACAUGUAAAACACAGGGUACACUCAGUUAAGUAUAUGGAUAUUUUCAAAUUCCAGCAACUGAACUUUCUGUUAUAUAAAUUAUUGAUGUUAGAGAUGAUAUACAUCAGUUAUAUAGCUUCUCGAGUGCUUGCAUCCUUUUCGGCAAAAUAUUAAAGUCUUUCUUCCAUAAACUCUCAGUUACUUGCAAGAUCAGUAAGACUUCUUUCUCAUACAUAACCUAAUGUAAAUACAGAGAAGUCUUUCCCACCAGAGAAUCGUAUGAAUAUUUAAUAAAUCUGCUAAAAUUGUCAAUCGCAUUAAGAGCAGCCCAAUACAUUUUUGACUUUUUCCCUCAAGAUAGGUGGUGACCACAGAUGACAUUUGUUUUACAGUGAAGUUUAGUGACCUUUGCAAAAGGUUGUCUCUUGUCUGUUCAAGUUGCAAGAACUUCAGGGUUUCCAGAAGGAACUCAUCACU
Molecule: long non-coding RNA, 1061 nt
Filed under: Callithrix jacchus (white-tufted-ear marmoset)
Lineage: Eukaryota; Metazoa; Chordata; Mammalia; Primates; Cebidae
Description: lncRNA (ENSCJAG00000082295.1)
Source: RNAcentral